GUCUUAUAGAAUAUAAUUUUAAGUCAAUCUGCCCAAUGAUUUAAAUUAAAUGGCUGCAGUAUAAUUAACUGUACAAAGGUAGCAUAAUCAAUUGUUUUUUAAUUAAAAACUAGAAUGAAAGAAUUAAUGAGAUAUAUACUGUCUCAUAUAUAUAAAAUAAACUUAAAUUUUUAGUAAAAAUGCUUAAAUUUUUUUAUGGGACGAUAAGACCCUAUAGAAUUUAAUAUUAAUAUUUAAUUAAUUAUUUAAUUAUAAUAUUAAUAUUUAAUUGGGAGGAUUAAUAAAUUCAAUAAACUUUAUUUUUAAAAUAAACUUUAAUUUUAGAAUAUAUUUUGAUCUUUUAUUAAAAAUUAAAAAAAUAAAUUACCUUAGGGAUAACAGCGUAAUAUCUCUUUAAAGACCAUAUUAAUAAAGAUGUUUGCGACCUCGAUGUUGAAUUAAGAUAAAUUUUAGAUGAAGAGAUCUAAAUAUUAAGUCUGUUCGACUUUUAAAAUCUUACAUGAUUUGAGUUCAAAUCGACGUAAGU
Molecule: ribosomal RNA, 526 nt
Filed under: Bombus veteranus
Lineage: Eukaryota; Metazoa; Arthropoda; Insecta; Hymenoptera; Apidae
Description: partial 16S ribosomal RNA
Rfam family: Bacterial large subunit ribosomal RNA (bases 374-526)
Source: RNAcentral